Molecule: ribosomal RNA, 258 nt
Filed under: uncultured bacterium
Lineage: Bacteria
Description: partial small subunit ribosomal RNA
Rfam family: Bacterial small subunit ribosomal RNA
Source: RNAcentral
AGAAUCAACGCUGGCGGCGUGCCUAACACAUGCAAGUCGAACGAGAAAGUGGAGCAAUCCAUGAGUAAAGUGGCGACCGGGUGAGUAACACGUGGGCAACCUGCCCCUCACACUGGGAUAACCUCGGGAAACCGGGGCUAAUACCGGAUACGACCUCGAGCGGCAUCUCUUGAGGUGGAAAGCUCCGACGGUGAGGGAUGGGCCCGCGGCCUAUCAGCUUGUUGGUGGGGUAAUGGCCUACCAAGGCGACGACGGGUA